Molecule: long non-coding RNA, 797 nt
Filed under: Selaginella moellendorffii
Lineage: Eukaryota; Viridiplantae; Streptophyta; Lycopodiopsida; Selaginellales; Selaginellaceae
Description: long non-coding RNA (SMOE_LNC001588)
Source: RNAcentral
GGACUUCUCGCUGAGCGUGGUUAUGGAGAUGAUGCAGCACCGUCAAGACUACGGGAAAAAGAGCAGCUUCUUCAGAAAGUAGAGAAUGGGGUGGCAAACCUACGUACUAGUGCGUCCAUCGGUCGCUUGUACAGGCAUCAACCUCAGGCUCAGCUGCAAGAGCUCAAGUUCUAAGUCAUAAGCAUGUAUAAAAAAGCGAAGUUGUAGUAAGGCUUACCAGUGAGCGUGAAAGGAGAGCUUUCUGUAUAGCAGCAUAAGAGACUCAAGCUUGUCUUUUGCUUUCGAUCCAUAGCUCCAAUUCGUAACCCCCUCUCGCCUCGCAUGAUGUCGAGCAAUUCACGCGACCAAAAGAAUCAGCGAGCUCCAUCUCUACGAGAAAGCGUACGCAAAACUACUAGCCCCGUACCAUUUUCUUUCUUAGAAUCCGCGUUACACCGAACUUCCCAGAUUCGAACGCUAGAAUUUUCAUGACCGCAUUCCAAAAUCCCAGCAUCCACACGCCCACAUUUCAAGCAGAGGCUCCCGCUGAGCGCAGCGAUCCCUCCCGCGCCUCUUCCCUGUGCCGCUAUCGCUCACCCUAUCGAGAGAGCGCCAUCGCUAAACCCUAGAAACCCUCUAAACCUCGAGCAAUAUAAAAAAAAAAACCAUUUAAUGGAUAUGGUCUAAAGAAUUUCCAGAAAGAUCUUUUCGUUUCUCCUACGGCAUAGUACCACACUCGAUGAUUUCACGUGAAGCGAAUAUACUCGCUUUUCUUUGCUUCUUUGUUUUGCGUAUCCCCGUUCUUCGUCUGGGAUGUU